CAACUAAUAAAAUACAAAGGGGACCGGCGUGCAACAUGCACGAAUGCGCAGGGACUGAAUAUGGAAAUAGUCCAGAACCCAAAGCGUAGUGCUGAAGUUCGGACCACGUUGCGAACGCGCGCAAAUUAGGGGGAAAAUUUUAAAAGAAAAAGAAAUGUGAAAUGUGAGCUGAUUUACGCACCGCGCGAAAAGGGAGGGGUUUAUUAUGAAUUAACCCAUUUGACGCGCAUUGGCAUGGGUUCGGGUCUGGGAGCAGUUUGACACGCGGAUCUAAUAGCUGAAACGGCGUUGUUUCAUUUCUUUAAUAAAAAGAAACUAUUCCUUCCCCAAACAAUGAAACAAUCAGCCCUAUUUGAAAUUGAAACCCUAGCCUCCUAUUAUUUCCUUCAGCCGACCCUUAGUGUCAACUCUUAAGCGCCGAGUCGCCACCAUGAACGGCGACCAGCGUGCGCGAACCUCGAGAUUACUUUUUCAGCCUUAAGAUUCCCUCUAUACCUCGAUUUUAACGGAGCAGAAGGAAUCCCAUGGAAUUUGUAAGGUAAGCUUUUCACUUCCCUUCUCCCUUUCAGCCCAUCUGCGGGCUUCAUCGGCGCUGAAAGCGCCUCCACCCAAGACGCGAUUUUAAACAGAUCCCUAAGGAUCUAAAAUCUUGGACCGGAGAAGUGAACAAUGAAUAGAUCGACCCCCGAAUCAGGUAAGUAAACCCUUUCCCCUUUUUUAUAUAUCUUUAUGCAAUAGAUUUGAAAUCAAUAAAAAGAAAAAAAAAACGAUGAACAAAAGAGACACAUUUAAGAUGUUUGCCUCCGAUUGUUUCUUCUUCUGUUUUUUUUUUUAUUUCCAGUGUUCGUGUCCAACGAUUACAAAGAACAUAGGGCUUUUAUAUAGCCGAAAAUAAAAAUGAAAAUACAAUAAGUUUUCCUUUUUUCUCUUUUUUUUUUCUUACUGUUGUUUUUGCUGUGCUGUUCUUGUCCUUUGUUUGUCUUCUUUUACAGGUACGGAGGAGAACGUGGAGCACGUACGGAGGCUAUGCGCUGGCGUACGGAGGUAGCUGGCGAUCGGGGGUUGCUGGUGGCGCAAGGGGAACCUUAGGGUUCCUGAGGAUUGCUUGACCUUUGGGCCAAUCGGGCUAUAUUUUUGGGUCUAGGUUAAUGGGCCAUUGUAUUUGGUUUUGGGUCUAAACAAUGGGUUUGGGCUAUUGUAAUAAUUUUAGACUAAUGGACUUUUAUUAAUAUAUUUGGUUUAUUUAUUUAUUUAUUUUUUAAUUUUUGUGUUGUAACGGGCCGGGCAAAAUUUGGGCCUUACAGAUAUUAUCAGUGCCUUCUACAAAUAAAACUUCAAAAUUGAAAGUACACAAUUCAUUAUACCAUCUAAUCCUUCUAGUCACUGUUUUCAAACUUUUGUUAGUAAAGAAUUGUUUUACCGCUUAAUUAUCAGUUUUUAUGAUAACUUUUCAGGUGCUAAAUAUAUAAGAAAAGUUUUUAUUCCUUUUUUUAUUGCUAAUAAUUCUUUUUCAUAUAUAACAUAAUUAAUUUCAUUUGGUUUAAAUUUUCCUGAAUCAUAUCCACAUACUAACUCUUCAUUAU
This 1583-nucleotide long non-coding RNA is filed under the name Gossypium barbadense (sea-island cotton). RNAcentral describes it as "long non-coding RNA (GBAR_LNC007069)". The record is from RNAcentral. Lineage: Eukaryota; Viridiplantae; Streptophyta; Magnoliopsida; Malvales; Malvaceae.